ACGGAACUUUUCGGAGUUCAGUGGCGGACGGGUGAGUAACGCGUGAGAAUCUGCCUUCUGGUCGGGGACAACCAUUGGAAACGGUGGCUAAUACCGGAUGAGCCUACGGGUAAAAGAUUUAUUGCCAGAAGAGGAGCUCGCGUCUGAUUAGCUAGUUGGUGAGGUAAAGGCUCACCAAGGCAUCGAUCAGUAGCUGGUCUGAGAGGAUGACCAGCCACACUGGGACUGAGACACGGCCCAGACUCCUACGGGAGGCAGCGGUGGGGAAUUUUCCGCAAUGGGCGAAAGCCUGACGGAGCAAGACCGCGUGAGGGAGGAAGGCUCUUGGGUUGUAAACCUCUUUUCUUGGGGAAGAAAAAAAUGACGGUACCCAAGGAAUCAGCAUCGGCUAACUCCGUGCCAGCAGCCGCGGUAAUACGGAGGAUGCAAGCGUUAUCCGGAAUUAUUGGGCGUAAAGCGUCCGCAGGUGGCACUUCAAGUCUGCUGUCAAAGGUCGGGGCUUAACCCCGGGAAGGCAGUGGAAACUGAAGCGCUAGAGUGUCGUAGAGGUAGAGGGAAUUCCCGGUGUAGCGGUGAAAUGCGUAGAGAUCGGGAAGAACAUCGGUGGCGAAAGCGCUCUACUGGACGACAACUGACACUCAGGGACGAAAGCUAGGGGAGCGAAUGGGAUUAGAUACCCCAGUAGUCCUAGCCGUA
This 696-nucleotide ribosomal RNA is filed under the name uncultured cyanobacterium. RNAcentral describes it as "bacterial SSU rRNA". It matches the Rfam family "Bacterial small subunit ribosomal RNA", at positions 66 to 804 of the family's 1533-position model. Lineage: Bacteria; Bacillati; Cyanobacteriota. The record is from RNAcentral.